Non-coding RNA from Cherax quadricarinatus, 922 nucleotides. NCBI's taxonomy places the organism in Eukaryota, Metazoa, Arthropoda, Malacostraca, Decapoda, Parastacidae. The record is from RefSeq and is a predicted model, not a curated record.
UGUAUCCUACAGCAGGUCAGAAUACAGUAGAUGUAUUCCAGAGCAGGUCAGAAUACAGUAGAUGUAUUCCAGAGCAGGUCAGAAUACAGUAGAUGUAUUCCAGAGUAGGUCAGAAUACAGUAGAUGUAUUCCAGAGUAGGUCAGAAUACAGUAGAUGUAUCCCAGAGCAGGUCAGAAUACAGUAGAUGUAUUCCAGAGCAGGUCAGAAUACAGUAGAUGUAUCCCAGAGCAGGUCAGAAUACAGUAGAUGUAUCCCAGAGCAGGUCAGAAUACAGUAGAUGUAUUCCAGAGCAGGUCAGAAUACAGUAGAUGUAUCUCAGAGCAGGUCAGAAUACAGUAGAUGUAUUCCAGAGCAGGUCAGAAUACAGUAGAUGUAUCCCAGAGCAGGUCAGAAUACAGUAAAUGUAUUCCAGAGCAGGUCAGAAUACAGUAGAUGUAUCCCAGAGCAGGUCAGAAUACAAUAGAUGUAUUCCAGAGUAGGUCAGAAUACAGUAGAUGUAUUCCAGAGCAGGUCAGAAUACAGUAGAUGUAUGCUACAAUAGACUAACAACAGGAAGUUAGUAAUACACCUACUGUAUUAUUCUUAUGGUAAUUUAUUAACCCACGCUGCGGGUUUAGCUCUCCCAGGUGCACCCCCGAUAGAUAGUUGAAAUAGACAUUGCAACAAAAUCUAUCGGAAUCUAUUUUACGAAGUACGAUAGAUUUUUUAGACUUUGAUGACCCUUGAGAAUACAAUAAAAUACAAUAUAAUAAUUAAAUUCAAAAUAAUACAGUAAAAUACAAUAGAAUACAAUGAAAUACACUAGAAUACAAUGAAAUACACUAGAAUACAAUGAAAUACAGUAGAAUACAAUGAAAUACAGUAGAAUACAAUUAAAUACACUAGAAUACAAUUAAAUACACUAGUAUACAAUGAAAUACA